Molecule: transfer RNA, 76 nt
Filed under: Salmonella enterica subsp. enterica serovar Enteritidis
Lineage: Bacteria; Pseudomonadati; Pseudomonadota; Gammaproteobacteria; Enterobacterales; Enterobacteriaceae
Description: tRNA-Lys
Rfam family: tRNA
About the family: Transfer RNA (tRNA) molecules are approximately 80 nucleotides in length. Their secondary structure includes four short double-helical elements and three loops (D, anti-codon, and T loops). Further hydrogen bonds mediate the characteristic L-shaped molecular structure. tRNAs have two regions of fundamental functional importance: the anti-codon, which is responsible for specific mRNA codon recognition, and the 3' end, to which the tRNAs corresponding amino acid is attached (by aminoacyl-tRNA synthetases). tRNAs cope with the degeneracy of the genetic code in two manners: having more than one tRNA (with a specific anti-codon) for a particular amino acid; and 'wobble' base-pairing, i.e. permitting non-standard base-pairing at the 3rd anti-codon position.
Source: RNAcentral
UCCUCUGUAGUUCAGUGGGUAGUACGGCGGAGUUUUAAUCCGUAUGUCACUGGUUCGAGUCCAGUCAGAGGAGCCA